This is a long non-coding RNA of Bubalus bubalis (water buffalo), 2999 nucleotides long. RefSeq lists it as uncharacterized. The transcript has 2 exons. The record is from RefSeq and is a predicted model, not a curated record. Lineage: Eukaryota; Metazoa; Chordata; Mammalia; Artiodactyla; Bovidae.
UAGACAGGGAAAGACAGAGUUACAGGAGCUAAAUUCAGUGGUCUCUGAACCCGCAUGCUGCUGCCAUGGCAGGAGGAGGAGGCGGGACUGAGCGGGGAGGCGCCCGGUGCUACGGGAGCCUCGCAGGGCUUCAGGGGCAGCCAGGCCUGCACAGCAGCAGAGGAGGCGGAAGGUGCUCCUGCGAGAAGAGUGAGGAGCGGAACGCACGGUGGGAGCAGGCGGUGGGAGCCCUGAAGGGUUUUGGGAAGACGGACGCCGUGAACCCUCCUGUGGGACUUACAGGAGGUGAGCCUGGCCUGCACCUGCGGGCUGAGGGCUGAAGGGGGUGCAGUGCCCGCUGCUCGGUCAGGAAAGUGCCCACGAUCCCAUCCCAACGGGACUUGGAUGGUCUGAACUCUGCGGGUGACGGCUGCUGGAAGGGGAGCUUGGACACAGUGACCGGAUCGGCCCUGUGGGAGCAGGCAGGGCUGGGGUGAGAGGCCGGCGGGGGGUGCCCAGGGCCUCCCUCUCGCCCCCUCCUUCCUCCCCUCUGCUCUCAAAACUUCACAGAAGUAACAGGGCAGUUGUAACUUGGUCAAAUUCUCGAUGGCAUUUCCACCCUUGUUAAUAUUCCUAGGGUUUCCCAGUGAAGUUUUUGCCUCCUCACUUCACUCUUCAGGGAAAUUUCUUCUCAGUCCUGGGCUAUGAUUCUGGGAUCAGGUCAAACUACUGUUGGCACUUGGGCAAUGAGCCUUCGGACCUGGAAGAACAUUCGGUUAGAUUCUUGACAUUUCUGUCCAGACUGGUGGGCAGCUGGGAAGGGAACUAGGAGAUGCCCAUCUCUGCGAGGGCUGCAGGCAGCUGUGACCGAGCUUCUGAGGUCAGAACGUGGUGAUGACUGUCAGUGAACAUAAGGAACAGUGGAACAGCAGGAUGUCCUGAGUGGCCACGCGUGAUUGACCGCUGCCACCGUCUCUUUCUCAGGCUCUUCAGGGUGGACCGUGGACUCUGCCAGUCAGCACAGAAGAGGGUGAGAUGCCCGGCAGGGGCAGGCCCGAUACCCCAGCUCCUCAGGGCCAUGGCUCUAUCCUGUGUGGGAACAGCAUUCUGUCUUUAAAGACAUUCACCUGUUUACCCAUUUCUUCCAGAAUGAUGCAUUUCCCUAAACUUUGCUAGCAUACACAGCAAAGAUAAGCAAACAUAGAUGCUAGAAAUCACUCCAAAGCCCAUCUCCCUAAGGAGCUACUGGCCUCGCUUUGCUUCAUUUCUUGUGCUCACAUGUACACCCCUCCCUCUCCAAAGUGGAAGCCUCUUGUAUAAACUUGUUGCCCGUUUUUUCACUUCAAAGUAUAUUUUGAUCAGUUUUCCAGGUUGGUAAGCGUGCUUCCACAAUGGCACACACGUGUGUGAGAGCCCAAGGGCACCAUUCAAUUCCUUUAACCCGCAGCUCCCUUGCUAUGCCUUCAGAUCUUUUCUAUAUGUCACUACGGAAUUGAAAAUGAGGACUUGACGAGCACCUUGGUGCCAAGACAGUCCUCGGUGAAGCUCUGGCCCUGCCUUUCCAGUCUUAAGUCUCUACCCCCAUCCCGAGGGGCCGUGGCAGGCCCUCCAGUUUGCAAGGACCGCAGAAACUCAUGGAAACGCCUGGUGUUCCGGGAGUGGUGGGAAGAGCCAGGGAAGCUCCGGCCCCUGCUGAUUCCUCUGGGUGAGAGCCUCCACGUUCCCGAAGGCCUUCUGCACGGGACUGGCAGGCAGCCUGAUCCCCGACAGCCAGUGUGCAGCCGUGCAUCUGGGCAAGGGCAGCAGCCUCCCCCUCUCACCCCAACCUCAGCCCGCCGCUCAGGUGGGCCCUGGGCCCCUGGGGCUUCCUCCAAGCUGCCAGGAAGGUGCAGACUCUGCUGAGGCCAGUUCCAGAGAGGACUGAGUCACUGGGUCUGAGUCAGCGUUUGUUCUGUUUCCUGGAAGAACGUCAGGUGUCAGGCAUUACUCCAAGCGGCUGUGAGCAAGAAGAAAGCAUGCCCAGAGGACGGGUGUAUGUGCCCUUACGCCAAAAGCCUCGCACACUCACCUGCUCUCGCGUCCACGGAACACACUCUGGAGGGGGAGGAGCCUUUGUGUGGGCCCCUCUGCACCCCUCCCCACCAGCGUCAAGGAUGGGAAGCCCCCUCCCUGCCCUCGGGAGCUCACCCCCCCCGACAGGGCACGUGGCCGCAAGUAGCACAAGGGCCCCUGUGUUGCCCUGCAGGAUGGAGGCCCAGGGAGGCCCAGCAUCUGCCCGAGUGUCCUCUGUCUGCUGGUCCUCAUCUGAGCGGCUGUAGGACUCUGUCUCCUUGUCUGGAUUCACGGAAGAGCAAACUGGGCUCGUUCAUGGGCAGGAAGGGGUUAAGGGCCAGCAGGGACGCAGGGCUCUGGGAACAGGCGCCUUCCUGGGGCAGCAGAAGCAUUCCAAGCGCAGUGUUUUCUGUUCUAAAUAUGGACUUGGGAGACAGUUAUUUUUAGGAAGCAAAUGGUAAUGAUUAGAGUUUUAAGAUUUAAGUAGUCAUUUAGUCAUAAAAGCUGAAUUCACAUGCUACAGAAAAAUAGUCUUUUCCUUUGGUUGAUGAUAGGGUUCCUUCAAGUGCAGUAAUUGUUCAUCGCUUCAUGAAUGCUCCGCAGACAAGGGCCUGUGAUUAGCCUCCACCCCAGGCUCCCUUGGAAGAGCAGGGAGACGGCUGGAGAUGGCUCCGGGCUGAGAAGGGAGGUGGUGAGCUUGCAGACCAGGGCAUAAGCCCGCCCCAGCCUGCAUCUCGGGAUCCAUGAGAGUUCAGGGCUGCCUCCCCGCCGGUGAGGAGACCGCGCCUCAGAGGCUCUGGCUGGCCAUGUACUGAGGCUGUUCUGUCCACACGCGGGGUGACCUGACUACGGGGUGAUGCCUGGCGCUAACCUGCAGGUGUAAGCCAGGCAGACCGCAGACGAGGAGCCUAGGUGAUGUCAGAAAUCCCCACCCAGGUCCCGUGGAGAGAAGCCUGUGGGAGCUCGGC